Long non-coding RNA from Pieris napi, 1069 nucleotides. RefSeq lists it as uncharacterized. NCBI's taxonomy places the organism in Eukaryota, Metazoa, Arthropoda, Insecta, Lepidoptera, Pieridae. The record is from RefSeq and is a predicted model, not a curated record. The transcript has 2 exons.
GUAAUAGUUUCGAUGAUAGAACUACAGACUUUUACAGACAAUCCCCAAAGAUCUUCUGUAGAUUUAAUUUUAAGAUCUUUAAAAGCAGCCUGGGGGUUUGUAUAUUGAAAUCGAAACUCCGUAGGGCAUGCCCUUACAUUCUUCGCCAUACAGUUCAUAAAGUUUAUCCCUGCUCUUACGAAUACCUGGAGUCGCCCAAUCACUAAAUAAGAACUUGGUGUAAAUACUUUUUGUCUUUUGUGGAACAAUGUCAUUAAAUUGCGAUUUUAACAAGGUAAAAAACUCCGCAUAGAACUCAUUAGGGUCCCAAAUAUUAUUAAAGUUUUGAACACACAAUUUACUGGUCAAGGUAUUAUCCUUAUUUGAAUUUUUUGUACAGGUAUGUAGGCACAAAACGUUAUUGUUUGUCCACUGUGAUCAGAAGGCAAUUUAUUAACAAUUUCUUUAUGUAAGUAAUCACAAUUACAAAAAAUAUUAUCUAUACAAGUGGCAGAAGAAGCUGUCACUCUAGUUGGUUCCAUAAAAACAUUAGACAGAUUAAAUGAUUUAAAAAGACUUAUUAAUCUGAUACUAUUUGAGUUUGUUUCUAAUAAGUUAAUAUUAAAAUCACCACUUAUGAUUGAUUUACUACUAGUACUAAGUUUUUUUAACACAUCUUCCAUUACAGAAUCAAAUACAGAUAGAUUCUGAUAGCCCGGAGGUCUGUAAACACAUACUACAACAUGCUUAUCGAGCUCGACACAGGACAACUCUAUAGAAUGUUCAACUGACAAUCUGAUAAUGUCUUUCCUUUCUUUAGAUUUAACAGAAUUUUUGAUUAAUAUUAAUGAUCCACCAUGUAUCAUACACUUCCGGCUGAAAUAGCUAACUACACAAUAAUUUUCAUAAUUAAUAGACAUUAUCUGAUGAUCAUUUAACCAAUGUUCAGUUAAACAAAUAAUAUCGAACUUGGUUUUUUCUAAAAACAUUUCUAUUUCCAGUAAUUUGGAAGAGCAACCUUGAAUAUUCUGAUGAAAUAAUCUUAAAGUAUGUUGCUUUCCUUUUGGUUUAUUAAAACAUGUUAAAUUGC